GAGGAGUGCAGUGCUUAAUUUGUAAUGAAAGAGUGCCAGGGCUCAAGCAAUUUUUUUACAUUCAUAACUGAUGCAGGCAGCCCAGAGGUGCCGGGACUAUGAACGGCCAAACCUAGAGGUGCUGGGGCUCAGGGCUGGCAAGCCCUGGCA
Molecule: long non-coding RNA, 150 nt
Organism: Dermochelys coriacea (leatherback sea turtle)
Lineage: Eukaryota; Metazoa; Chordata; Testudines; Dermochelyidae
Exons: 3
Source: RefSeq, a predicted model, not a curated record